CUCGGCUCACUGCAAGCUCUGCCUCCUGGUUUCACACCAUUCUCCUGCCUCAGCCUCGUGAGUAGCUGGGACUACAGGUGCCUGUCACCAUGCCUGACUGAUUUUUUUUGUAUUUUUAGUAGAGGUGGGGUUUCAACAUGUUAGCCAGGAUGGUCUCGAUCUCCUGACCUCAUGAUCCGCCUGCCUCGGCCUCCCAAAGUGCUGGGAUUACAGGCAUGAGCCACAGUGCCCGGCCUAAGAGUAUGUGUAUCUUAUAGACCACAUCCUGGAUUGGUAGUUACAGAAGGUUUACUCCUUGGGCAGUGUUGGACUCUUGAGGAAGUAGCAGGUGGAGGAUGAAGUUUGGGGACUUUGUGCCUCUUACAUUUACGCCUGCUUUUUAAUGUAGCAUGAUAACAAAAUGUCAUGCUAUUGGUGAUGGAUGGGUAAGGUACCUAAUAACAGUAAGUUUGGCUUAGGAGAGGUAAACCAUUUUAAGUCAAUCAGUAUAUAAUGGAUCUAAGAAGGAGAGAGAGGGUGACAUUCAGUCUAUCAUAAAACUGGAUGGAUGUGCCACAUAGGAAAAAAAGUUGUCAUUUAACAGUGAGUGUGGGGAAAAAAAAACAAAGUUUAUUAGUGUUUAUGUAGGCAUUAUUUAUUUGGGGACCGUAUCCUAAGGCAGGCAUAUUCUCACAAUGGAAAUGGAUGCAGUGUGAUGCCAUGAACUUUUGAAACCAGUAAAUCCCUUUGUUGUGAUUCCAAAUUUACUCAGCACAUAUCUGAUUAUUAUCUGUUCUCUAGUGUAGUUUAUCUAGUGAGACAGAUUACAUUGACCAGAGGAGUUCAGUAUUCAGUCUUCUUGGUGGUUAUUUUCUUGUAAAUUAAUAAUACUGAUAAUAUGCUAUUUUGCUUUUUUAUAAUUGAUUGUCUUUAACUUUGCCCUGAAGCAUUUUUCCUGAUCAACUCUAGACCAUGAUAGAGCCUUUGGGCCUCAGGGCUAAUGAUCUUACCUCGAACCACCAGUCAGUGAGGUGUCUGGGAAAACCUUUUCCUGGUGAUGUCUCAUCUUUUCCUUCUGCAGUCACCAAUAUCGUAUUUACUGUGUCAUGAUGCUAGGGUUUGUACUGGCUUGUUUACUUUUCAUGAUUUAUCUUAUUGUGUGAUCAUUUGUGUAACACUUAAAAAAAUUAGUAGGACUGUUAAAAUAGUUUUUUCCCCCCAUUAAAAGUGGAAUGACACCGUUUAGCUUCUGAAGACUUCGGCUUUAACUGGUUUUUAUUUUGAGCUGGGUAUUAAAGGAGAAUUAUGAUAGGGUAAACAUAAUUAGUGAUACCUGGUUGCCCCAAGCAUCGAUAAUAUUUGAUACUACAUACAUAAGUAGAUAUCUAUUUUGUGAUAAUAUACCUUAGUUUCAUUGGAUAAAACCAGAAGAAGAAAAAAUGUGCAAGCAGCUUGGUUACUGCCUAAGCUGCAGCAGUUCUGAGAGCCUACUGUUGUCAUUUUUAAUGGACAGCCUUGUACUUCCAUAGGUUGGUUAAUCUUAAAGACCAGAUGGUAGUUGUAUUGUAAUUUCAUAAAGAUUUUAUGUCCUGUGUUUUGCUAUCAACUAGAAGUAUGAGAAUUUAGGCAAGUUAUAUUAAGACAUAUAAAUAAUAAAAGUUGGUGAAUCAUUUUAUCUAACAACUUACUGAUAUUACUCAACACAAGGAGAAAACUUAGAAAAUGGACCUUAACACCAUUGUCUACUACAAAGAGAGUAUAGAGGAGGCAGGAAAAACAGAGAGCACACAAUAACAUGAUAGUUAUAAAUCCGGGUGUCAGUAAUUACAAUAAAUGUAAAUAGACUAGAGGAUUCUGCUAAAAGGCAGGUCAGAUUGGAUUAAAGACAUCUGACAUACUAGGUUUACAAGAAGCGUAUCUAAAAACAAAGAUACAGAAGGCAAAAUAAUGGAAAAUUAUAUUUCAGGCUUUAAGCAAAAUAAAGCUGGUAUAACAUGUUGAUAUCAGACAAAAUAGAAAUCAAGGCAAAAGGCAUUAGAGAUGAAGAGGAUCACUGUACAGUGGUAAAAGGUUCAGUUCAGAUAUAGGUACAUAUUAUAUAAAGCAAAAA
Macaca fascicularis (crab-eating macaque) is the source of this 2089-nucleotide long non-coding RNA. The record is from Ensembl. Lineage: Eukaryota; Metazoa; Chordata; Mammalia; Primates; Cercopithecidae.